CAUGUAGGCGGAGCAAUCAGUCAGUGGUGAAAUCUCCCGGCUUAACCGGGAGCCUGCUACUGAUACUGUUGCUCUUGAGUUCGGAAGAGGGAAGUGGAAUUCCAGGUGUAGCGGUGAAAUGCGUAGAUAUCUGGAAGAACACCAGUAGCGAAGGCGGCUUCCUGGUCCGAUACUGACGCUGAGAUGCGAAAGCGUGGGGAGCAAACA
RNAcentral lists this ribosomal RNA (207 nucleotides) under uncultured bacterium. Its description in RNAcentral is "partial 16S ribosomal RNA". It matches the Rfam family "Bacterial small subunit ribosomal RNA", at positions 568 to 774 of the family's 1533-position model. The record is from RNAcentral.